CUAGUAGCGGCGAGCGAAGAGGGAAAAGCCCAGCACCGAACCUCGCACCCCCGGGUGUCGCGGAAUGUGGUGUUCAGGAGGACCGUGCGCGUCUGUCCGGUAUCGUCCAAGUCUCCAUGAAUGGGGCCAGCAACCCAGAGAGGGUGUCAGGCCCGUGGGACGAGCCGCGACCGUGUAUUGGGUCUCUCCUUAGAGUCGGGUUGCUUGAGAGUGCAGCCCUAAGCGGGAGGUAAACUCCUUCUAAGGCUAAAUACGGCCACGAGACCGAUAGCGAACAAGUACCGCGAGGAAAGUUGAAAAGAACUUUGAAGAGAGAGUUCAAUAGUGCGUGAAACCGUUCAGGGGGUUAAACGGGUGGGCCCUCGAAGGUCGAACGCCCCCUACUCCUGUUCCUGUAGCGCUGGCACGUGCUGCUUUUCGAUCUCGCUACGAGACGGAGCUUGGUGCGGUAUGCCGGACUGCAGGGGCCGCUAGUUAGGGGGCCAGUAGGACUCCGCAACCGGCUGGGUUUUUAAGUCGUCAGAAGGGUUCUGGAGGAAGCCUCCUCUGGGGGGUGAAAUCCGGGAUUCCGGGCGAUCUUCCCGGCCGUGAACCAGAAUUCCCCCGUCUGGCGUCUGGGACGAGUUCUGGCAACAGGACUGUCGGUUCUGGGCGUCACCGUGGGGACACCGCGGAGAGUAGAGUCGGGUCCCACCCGACCCGUCUUGAAACACGGACCAAGGAGUCUAACAUGUGCGCGAGUCGUCGGGUACUACUAAACCCGAAGGCGCAAUGAAAGUGAAGACUGUGCCUCGUCGCCGGUCUAGGGGAGAUCCCGUUCUGCUUCGGUAGCUCGGGCGCAUCCCCGGGCGUCGAAGCCGCGUUGCCGGCUAGACGAACCAAGAGCGUACACGUUGGGACCCGAAAGAUGGUGACCUAUGCCUGGCCAGGACGAAGCCAGGGGAAACCCUGGUGGAGGUCCGCAGCGAUUCUGACGUGCAAAUCGAUCGUCGGAGUUGGGUAUAGGGGCGAAA
RNAcentral lists this ribosomal RNA (1013 nucleotides) under Cyzicus gynecia. RNAcentral's name for it is "eukaryotic LSU rRNA". It matches the Rfam family "Eukaryotic large subunit ribosomal RNA", at positions 80 to 928 of the family's 3401-position model. Lineage: Eukaryota; Metazoa; Arthropoda; Branchiopoda; Diplostraca; Cyzicidae. The record is from RNAcentral.